AACCCGGAGAACUGAAACAUCUAAGUACCCGGAGGAGAAGAAAACAAAAGUGAUUCCGUAAGUAGCGGCGAGCGAACGCGGAUUAGCCCAAACCAGUGUUGUUACGGCAAUACUGGGGUUGUAGGACCACGACAUUUGAUGCAUAAUGAACUAGAACAAGUUGGAAAGCUUGGCCAUAGACGGUGAUAGCCCGGUAUAGGUAAAGAUUGUUAUUGAUAGUGGUAUCCUGAGUAGUGCGGGGCACGUGAAACCCUGUAUGAAUCAGUCGGGACCAUCCGAUAAGGCUAAAUACUCCUGAGAGACCGAUAGUGAACUAGUACCGUGAGGGAAAGGUGA
This 336-nucleotide ribosomal RNA is filed under the name Pseudopedinella elastica. RNAcentral describes it as "partial Bacterial large subunit ribosomal RNA". It matches the Rfam family "Bacterial large subunit ribosomal RNA", at positions 181 to 517 of the family's 2925-position model. The record is from RNAcentral. Lineage: Eukaryota; Dictyochophyceae; Pedinellales.